CUCGCCACGGUAAUACGGAGGGUGCAAGCGUUAUCCGGAUUUAUUGGGUUUAAAGGGUCCGUAGGCGGAUCUGUAAGUCAGUGGUGAAAUCUCACAGCUUAACUGUGAAACUGCCAUUGAUACUGCAGGUCUUGAGUAAAUUUGAAGUGGCUGGAAUAAGUAGUGUAGCGGUGAAAUGCAUAGAUAUUACUUAGAACACCAAUUGCGAAGGCAGGUCACUAAGAUUUAACUGACGCUGAUGGACGAAAGCGUGGGGAGCGAACAGGAUUAGAGACCCGCGUAGUCCCUGUCUCUUAUACAC
This 301-nucleotide ribosomal RNA is filed under the name uncultured bacterium. RNAcentral describes it as "partial 16S ribosomal RNA". It matches the Rfam family "Bacterial small subunit ribosomal RNA", at positions 511 to 809 of the family's 1533-position model. The record is from RNAcentral.